RNAcentral lists this ribosomal RNA (353 nucleotides) under uncultured bacterium. RNAcentral describes it as "bacterial SSU rRNA". It matches the Rfam family "Bacterial small subunit ribosomal RNA", at positions 29 to 411 of the family's 1533-position model. The record is from RNAcentral.
AACGAACGCUGGCGGCAGGCCUAACACAUGCAAGUCGAACGCUCCGCAAGGGGAGUGGCGCACGGGUGAGUAACACGUGGGAACCUACCUUCUGGUACGGAACAACCAAGGGAAACUUUGGCUAAGACCGUAUACGACCUCCGGGUGAAAGAUUGAUCGCCGGAAGAGGGGCCCGCGUCCGAUUAGGUAGUUGGUGAGGUAACGGCUCACCAAGCCUUCGAUCGGUAGCUGGUCUGAGAGGAUGACCAGCCACACUGGGACUGAGACACGGCCCAGACUCCUACGGGAGGCAGCAGUGGGGAAUAUUGGACAAUGGGCGCAAGCCUGAUCCAGCCAUGCCGCGUGAGUGAUGA